Homo sapiens (human) is the source of this 1693-nucleotide long non-coding RNA. Ensembl annotates it as crystallin beta B2 pseudogene 1. Its record names the gene CRYBB2P1. The record is from Ensembl. NCBI's taxonomy places the organism in Eukaryota, Metazoa, Chordata, Mammalia, Primates, Hominidae.
UCCCAAAAUGCUGGGAUUACAGGCGUGAGCCACUGCACCUGGCCAAACUUGAAGAAAUUAUUUCUAAUCCCCGGUCACAAAGAAAUUCCCUAAUAGAUUUUUUUCUCUAAACUUUUUAAACAUUUGCUGUUCACAUUUGCGUUCUUAAUCCUUCUGGAGCUGAUUCUUGUAUAUAGUGUAUGGUAGAGAUUCAGUUUUUUUUUCUUUUUGGAAGUCCAGUGUCUUAAAUCAUUCAUGAAGGAGUCCAUUUCCUGCACUGUGGUGCAAUGUCGCCUUGCUGAUCUAUCCCCUUCCCCACAGGUGGGGUGAUUUUAUGGGCUGUCUUUUCUGUUCCUGUAGUCUGUGUAUCCCUGCACUCUUGCCAGAUUAUGUUAAUGACUAUUGCUUUGUAGUCAGUGUUGAGGUCCCUAAAACAGGGGCCCUCCACCCCUGGGCCUCCCGGGCCUCCCGUGGCCUGGAAUGGGGGCUCCACAGCAGGAGGUGGGGAUUACAGCCUGAGCCCCGCCUCCCGUCAGACCAGCGGCAGUAUUAGAUUCUCAUAGGGGUGCAAACCCUAUUGUGAACUGCACAUGGAAAGGAUCUAGGUUGCAUGCUCCAAUGAGAAUCUAAUGUCCCCUGCCCACAGCCCGUGAAAAAUUGUCUUCCACAAAAUCAAUCCCUGGUGCCAAAACAUUUGGCCCUAUAACAUGAUUCUUCAGGAAUGUUUUAGGUAUUCUUGCCCUUUUAGGACUCCAUUUAGAAGCAUCCCCUCACAUUUGGAAAAGUGGAAAACCUUGUUGAAUGAGCUGAAGUGGUUAAAAUGAUUAUCAUAAAGGUAGAAACCAGUAAGUGCUCCAUAUACACCAUGGAAUACUAUGCAGCCAUAAAAAAAUGAGUUCAUGUCCUUUGCAGGGACAUGGAUGAAGCUGGAAACCAUCAUUCUCAGCAAACUAACACAGAAGCAGAAAACCAAACACCACAUGUUCUCACUCAUAAGUGGGAGUUGAACAGUGAGAACACAUGGACACAAGGAGGGGAACAUCACACACCGAGGCCUGUCAGGGAGUGGGGGACAAGAGGGAGAGAGAGCAUUGGGACAAAUACCAAAUGCAUGCACGGCUUAAAACCUAGAUGACAGGUUGAUGGGUGCAGCAAACCACCAUGGCACAUGUAUACCUGUGUAACAAACCUGCACGUUCUGCACAUGUAUCCCAGAACUUAUAAUAAAAAAGAAACCAGUAAGUGCUCAAUAAAUGUUACUAACAUCUAUUUCUUCAUUCAUUCUUCAACCAUUACCCACUGAGUGCCUAUUUGGAUACUUGGCUUAGUACCUGGGUGAUGAAAUAAUCUACAGCAAACCCCCAUGGCAUGAGUUUAUAACAAACCUGCACAUGUAUCCCCGAACUUAAAAGUUAAAAAAACAGAAUCUGCACAAGUCUAAGCUACUUCCUUGAGGAAAAGACUCGAGCUGAGAUCUCAAAGAAGAGUAGAAGUUGCAGGGGUAAAGAGGCCAAAGAAGAGUGUCUCAGAUGAGAGCGGCACGUGCAAAGGCCCUGUGGUGGGAGGAGCCUGGUAGCUCUGAGAAACUCCACAAAGGCACGGUGGUGGCUGGAAUGCAGAGAUGUGGGGGCACAUUGAAAACCUUGUUAAAGUGCUUAAAAUGAUUAUCAUAAAGGUAGAAACUAAUAAGUGCUAAAUAAAUGUUAUUCUCGUC